GAUGAAGAACGUAGCGAAAUGCGAUAAGUAGUGUGAAUUGCAGAAUUCAGUGAAUCAUCGAAUCUUUGAACGCACAUUGCGCCCCUUGGUAUUCCAUGGGGCAUGCCUGUUCGAGCGUCAUUUGUACCCUCAAGCUUUGCUUGGUGUUGGGUGUUUGUCCCGCGUUGCGCGUGGACUCGCCUUAAAGCGAUUGGCAGACGGCAUAUUGGCCUUGGAGCGCAGCACAUUUUGCGCUUCUAGUCAUGAAUGUUGGCGUCCAUUAAGCCUAUACAUUUGCUCUUGACCUCGGAUCAGGUAGGGAUACCCGCUGAACUUAAGCAUAUCAAUAGCGGAGGA
This 336-nucleotide unclassified non-coding RNA is filed under the name soil metagenome. RNAcentral's name for it is "partial contains 5.8S ribosomal RNA, internal transcribed spacer 2, and large subunit ribosomal RNA". The stretch from base 1 to 120 matches the Rfam family "5.8S ribosomal RNA", at positions 35 to 154 of the family's 154-position model. The record is from RNAcentral.